AUUGAACGCUGGCGGCAUGCCUUACACAUGCAAGUCGAACGGUAACGCGGGGCAACCUGGCGACGAGUGGCGAACGGGUGAGUAAUGUAUCGGAACGUGCCCAGUUGUGGGGGAUAACUGCUCGAAAGAGCCGCUAAUACCGCAUACGACCUGAGGGUGAAAGCGGGGGAUCGCAAGACCUAGCGCAAUUAGAUAGGCGGAUAUCAGAUUAGGUAGUUGGUGGGGUAAAGGCUCACCAAGCCGACGAUCUGUAGCUGGUCUGAGAGGACGACCAGCCACACUGGGACUGAGACACGGCCCAGACUCCUACGGGAGGCAGCAGUGGGGAAUUUUGGACAAUGGGCGCAAGCCUGAUCCAGCCAUGCCGCGUGCGGGAAGAAGGCCUUCGGGUUGUAAACCGCUUUUGUCAGGGAAGAAAAGGCUCCUGUUAAUACCGGGGGCUCAUGACGGUACCUGAAGAAUAAGCACCGGCUAACUACGUGCCAGCCGCCGCGGUAA
Molecule: ribosomal RNA, 498 nt
Filed under: uncultured bacterium
Lineage: Bacteria
Description: partial 16S ribosomal RNA
Rfam family: Bacterial small subunit ribosomal RNA
Source: RNAcentral